This is a non-coding RNA of Hydra vulgaris (swiftwater hydra), 230 nucleotides long. Lineage: Eukaryota; Metazoa; Cnidaria; Hydrozoa; Anthoathecata; Hydridae. The record is from RefSeq and is a predicted model, not a curated record.
GCUUAUAUUUCAACAACUUAAAAAUUUAGAAAAUUCAAUUGCGUCAUCUGCAGUACCAUCAGGUAAUGUGUUUUGCAUUCUUAUGCCGUUUUAAGAGUGGUAUGUGUGUUAAAACUUAAAGAUAGCAUAUCUUAAUUUACAGAUUACUUUAUUUAUUUAUUUUUUUGUCUCUACAUUAGCACCUCAAGCAAUAAUAUCAGGUAAUCUGCUUAGCAUACUUAUGCAGUUUU